UAGGGAAUCUUCCGCAAUGGGCGAAAGCCUGACGGAGCAACGCCGCGUGAGUGAUGAAGGUCUUCGGAUCGUAAAACUCUGUUAUUAGGGAAGAACAAAUGUGUAAGUAACUAUGCACGUCUUGACGGUACCUAAUCAGAAAGCCACGGCUAACUACGUGCCAGCAGCCGCGGUAAUACGUAGGUGGCAAGCGUUAUCCGGAAUUAUUGGGCGUAAAGCGCGCGUAGGCGGUUUUUUAAGUCUGAUGUAGAAGCCCACGGCUCAACCGUGGAGGGUCAUUGGAAACUGGAAAACUUGAGUGCAGAAGAAGAAAGUGGAUUUCCAUGUGUAGCGGUGAAAUGCGCAGAGAUAUGGAGGAACAACAGUAGCGAAGGCGACUUUCUGGUCUGUAACUGACGCUGAUGUGCGAAAGCGUGGGGAUCAAACAGG
This 429-nucleotide ribosomal RNA is filed under the name Actinomycetes bacterium. RNAcentral's name for it is "Actinobacteria bacterium partial 16S ribosomal RNA". It matches the Rfam family "Bacterial small subunit ribosomal RNA", at positions 355 to 776 of the family's 1533-position model. The record is from RNAcentral. Lineage: Bacteria; Bacillati; Actinomycetota; Actinomycetes.